AUUGAUGGUUUAUGGGCCUUGGGUAUGUGCAUUGGAUCUGAAUUUUGGUUUAAUUGAUUUGGGCUUACUUAUUUUUCGUGUAAUUUACUAGAUUGGUUGGAUCAUUGAAUUUGGUUUGUUGGAUUUCCUAUUGAACCUUUGAUUUAUUUCUUUGGGUUUAUUUUGGGAUUAUUUUUGUUUUAUAUUUACUGGUAGGUUAUUGAUUAGUUUGAUUUGG
This 217-nucleotide long non-coding RNA is filed under the name Vitis vinifera (wine grape). RNAcentral describes it as "long non-coding RNA (VVIN_LNC005000)". The record is from RNAcentral. Lineage: Eukaryota; Viridiplantae; Streptophyta; Magnoliopsida; Vitales; Vitaceae.